GCCAAAUCUCUAGCCUCACAUACCAUGCACAUACAAUAUUAAUUUCCUUUCUCCCCCAUAAAACAUUUUAUUAAUUUAGUAAAGGCGAUAAAAAAAUUUUUUAGAGCAAUAUAAACAGUACCGUAAGGGAAUGAUGAAAUAAAAAUGAAAUAAUUCUUAAGCACAAAAAAGUAGAGAUUUCUCCUCGUACCUUUUGCAUCAUGGUUUAACUAGUCCUUUUUAGGCAAAAAGACUUUUAGUCUAACCUCCCGAACCUAGGCGAGCUACCCUAAGACAGCUUUUAGAGCCAACUCAUCUCUGUUGCAAAAGAGUGGGAAGAUCUUAUGGUAGUGGUGACAUACCUAACGAGCCUACUAAUAGCUGGUUGCUUUUUAAAAGGAUCUUAGUCCAACUUAAAGUUAUUUAAAUAAUAAAAAAUUCACUUUAAAGCAAUUCAAAUAAGGUUCAGCCUAUUUGAAAAAGGAUACAACCUCAACCACUGGGUUCUCGUUCAUCACAAAAUAAAGUAGGCCUAAAAGCAGCCAUCUUAAGAAAAAGCGUCAUAGCUUAUUCCUCCUGUUUUCAUAAUUCCAAAACUUACUUUUAACCCCUCACCACCAAAGAGCAACUCUAUAUCUAUAUAGAAGAUUUCAUGUUAAAACUAGUAACAAGAAGUAGCCCUUCUCUUAAAUGUACCUUUACAUCAACAUAAACCCUAUUGAUAAUUAACGUCUAUAAAACCACAGUAAAAACACCCCAAGAAAACCCUACUACUACCAACGUUAACCUAACACAAGAACAUUUAAAGAAAGAUUAAAAGAUAAAGAAGGAACUCGGCAAACAUUAGCCUCGCCUGUUUACCAAAAACAUCGCCUCCUGUCUAAUUAUAAGAGGUCCAGCCUGCCCAGUGACAUUGUUCAACGGCCGCGGUAUCCUAACCGUGCGAAGGUAGCGUAAUCACUUGUCCUUUAAAUGAGGACUAGUAUGAACGGCUUCACGAAAGCUAUACUGUCUCCUUUAUCCAAUCAGUAAAACUAAUCUCCCCGUGAAGAAGCGGGGAUACGUCUAUAAGACGAGAAGACCCUGUGGAGCUUUAAACACCUAAAACAUUUGUACUUUUCAUAAAACCUUCAGAAAAACUUCCUUAAGCUUACUAUUUUGUUUUAAGUUUUAGGCUGGGGUGACCACGGAGAAAACCCAACCUCCACGUAGAAAGAAACUUCUUUUCUAAGCAAAAAGUCACAUCUUUAUGCAUCAAUAUUAUUGACCUAAAUUGACCCAUUAUUUGAUCAACGAACCAAGUUACCCUAGGGAUAACAGCGCAAUCCGCUUUAAGAGCUCCUAUCGACAAGCGGGCUUACGACCUCGAUGUUGGAUCAGGGUAUCCUAGUGGUGCAGCAGCUACUAACGGUUCGUUUGUUCAACGAUUAAAACCCUACGUGAUCUGAGUUCAGACCGGAGUAAUCCAGGUCAGUUUCUAUCUAUAAAGAGCUUUUUCUAGUACGAAAGGACCGAAAAAACAUGGCCAAUGCCCUAAUUGUAAGCCACCUAUUCCUAAUUUAUGUUAAAACCUUAAUAACAAAGAAUCUAAUAUUAAAUUUAAGAUAAAACUA
This 1592-nucleotide ribosomal RNA is filed under the name Allobates carajas. Its description in RNAcentral is "16S ribosomal RNA". It matches the Rfam family "Bacterial large subunit ribosomal RNA", at positions 400 to 2831 of the family's 2925-position model. Lineage: Eukaryota; Metazoa; Chordata; Amphibia; Anura; Aromobatidae. The record is from RNAcentral.